AAGAUAUUGAAGAACCAGUAUCCUAAAAUAAAAUCUCAGAAACCAUACUUAACAAUUUGUACUAACAAAACUUGUAUCGUAAACCAAGAUAGUGUGAGAAAUGAGGAGAAAAGUCACAACAACAGAGAAGAAAAAUCAAAUCUACAUUUUCUAUUUCCAGAAUAAAAAGAAAACACAAAAGGCUUAGAUGAAAAGGCUGAGGUUAUGGCUUAGUUGUAAAGCACUUGCCUAGCAUGUGUGAGGCACUGGGUUCAAUUCUCAGCACCACAUAUAAAUAAUUAAAAUUAUUGACAUUGAUAAUAAUUUUAUUGUCAAUAAAUAAAUACAUUGACAACUAAAAAAUAUUUUUUUUAAAAAAGGCUUAGAUGAAAAGGAAUAAUGGUCAGAAAAGACACUGAAUAACACUAAAAUCAUGAUGCAAGAAUUAAAGCAUGCACUGGGGGCAGUGAAGAGCAAAAAGGCAGAAACUGAAACAGGAAACAGUGGUUAUUUAACUAGUGCAUAUUGAGGGCUAAUAUGAUAGGCAGAGCACAAGGCAGUAGAAAUUCAUCUUCAUAAAUAAGUCGUGAGAUGGACAAGCCCAAACACUGCUCAUGAGGGUCGGAGCUGGUAACACUUUACUGGAAACCAUUUUGGCAAUAUGAGUCAGGGGAGCCUUAAAUCACAUAAUCACAAGUCUAUGAAAAUAAUAAAUAGAUAUGAUCAUGGUCAUAUAGGAUUUAUAUUAGAAAUAGAUUUACAUUAU
Molecule: long non-coding RNA, 745 nt
Filed under: Marmota monax (woodchuck)
Lineage: Eukaryota; Metazoa; Chordata; Mammalia; Rodentia; Sciuridae
Source: RNAcentral